AGAGUGUUCAAAGCGGGCAGAUAUUUUUCCUGCCACCGAAUACAUUAGCAUGGGAUAAUGGAAUAGGACCCUGACCUCCUAUUUUCAGUUGGUUUUGUUUACAGCGAGGUUAUAUCAGGGUAAUGAUUAAUAGGGAUAGUUGGGGGCAUUAAUAUUUAAUUGUCAGAGGUGAAAUUCUUGGAUUUAUGAAAGAUUAACUUCUGCGAAAGCGUUUGCCAAGGAUGUUUUCAUUAAUCAAGAACGAAAGUUAGGGGAUCGAAGACGAUCAGAUACCGUCGUAGUCUUAACCAUAAACGAUGCCGACCAGCGAUUAGGAGACGUUGAAUACAAAACACCGCCGU
This 341-nucleotide ribosomal RNA is filed under the name Acanthamoeba sp. RNAcentral describes it as "SSU rRNA". It matches the Rfam family "Eukaryotic small subunit ribosomal RNA", at positions 768 to 1083 of the family's 1831-position model. Lineage: Eukaryota; Discosea; Longamoebia; Acanthamoebidae. The record is from RNAcentral.